AAGAUCACGUGCUGACGUAGAGCCUACGCUAGUAGUCCGAUCUGUACGGACGACACGUCCAGAGCUAACUGCUGUUCUCGACGAGCUAACCAGAAAGCCAAGGCUACUACGUGCUAGCAGCCCGGUAAACGUUAGUGCUAGCGUCGUACUGAACUAUUGGCCUAAAGCGCGCGCAGGUGGUCCCUUAGUCUGAUGUGAAAGCCCCGCUCAACCUCGGAGGGUCAUUGGAAACUGGGGAACUGAGUGCAGAAGAGGAAAGUGGAACUUUCCUAGUGUAGCGGUGAAAUGGGUAGAGGUUUGGAGGAACACCAGUGGCGAAGGCGUCUUUUCUCGUCUGUUACUGACACUGAGGCGCGAAAAGCGUGGCGGAGCAAAACACGAUUAGAUACCCUGGUCGUCCACACCGUAAACGAUGAGUGCUAAGUGUUAGAGGGUUUCCGCCCUUUAGUGCUGCAGCUAACGCAUUAAGCACUCCGCCUGGGGAGUACGGCCGCAAGGCUGAAACUCAAAGGAAUUGACGGGGGCCCGCACAAGCGGUGGAGCAUGUGGUUUAAUUCGAAGCAACGCGAAGAACCUUACCAGGUCUUGACAUCCUCUGACAACCCUAGAGAUAGGGCUUUCCCCUUCGGGGGACAGAGUGACAGGUGGUGCAUGGUUGUCGUCAGCUCGUGUCGUGAGAUGUUGGGUUAAGUCCCGCAACGAGCGCAACCCUUGAUCUUAGUUGCCAGCAUUCAGUUGGGCACUCUAAGGUGACUGCCGGUGACAAACCGGAGGAAGGUGGGGAUGACGUCAAAUCAUCAUGCCCCUUAUGACCUUGGCUACACACGUGCUACAAUGGAUGGUACAAAGGGCUGCAAACCUGCGAAGGUAAGCGAAUCCCAUAAAGCCAUUCUCAGUUCGGAUUGUAGGCUGCAACUCGCCUACAUGAAGCCGGAAUCGCUAGUAAUCGCGGAUCAGCAUGCCGCGGUGAAUACGUUCCCGGGCCUUGUACACACCGCCCGUCACACCACGAGAGUUUGUAACACCCGAAGUCGGUGAGGUAACCUUUAUGGAGCCAG
This 1058-nucleotide ribosomal RNA is filed under the name Bacillus sp. (in: firmicutes). RNAcentral describes it as "bacterial SSU rRNA". It matches the Rfam family "Bacterial small subunit ribosomal RNA", at positions 393 to 1452 of the family's 1533-position model. Lineage: Bacteria; Bacillati; Bacillota; Bacilli; Caryophanales; Bacillaceae. The record is from RNAcentral.